GAUGAACGCUGGCGGCGUGCCUAAUACAUGCGAGUCGAGCGAACAGAUGAGGAGCUUGCUCCUCUGACGUUAGCGGCGGACGGGUGAGUAACACGUGGAUAACCUACCUAUAAGACUGGGAUAACUUCGGGAAACCGGAGCUAAUACCGGAUAAUAUAUUGAACCGCAUGGUUCAAUAGUGAAUGACGGUUUUGCUGUCACUUAUAGAUGGAUCCGCGCCGCAUUAGCUAGUUGGUAAGGUAACGGCUUACCAAGGCAACGAUGCGUAGCCGACCUGAGAGGGUGAUCGGCCACACUGGAACUGAGACACGGUCCAGACUCCUACGGGAGGCAGCAGUAGGGAAUCUUCCGCAAUGGGCGAAAGCCUGACGGAGCAACGCCGCGUGGGUGAUGAAGGUCUUCGGAUCGUAAAACUCUGUUAUUAGGGAAGAACAAAUGUGUAAGUAACUAUGCACGUCUUGACGGUACCUAAUCAGAAAGCCACGGCUAACUACGUG
Molecule: ribosomal RNA, 497 nt
Filed under: uncultured bacterium
Lineage: Bacteria
Description: partial 16S ribosomal RNA
Rfam family: Bacterial small subunit ribosomal RNA
Source: RNAcentral